AACGAGGACAACCUUUACUAUAUAAGGGAUAAAUCCUAUAUCAGGAUAAUCUUAUAUCAGUUUGAUAAGAACUGUUGGGUAUAAAAUACCCCCCCAGCUGAAGUUCGUGAUAGGAGUGACUCUCCAGAGAUUCUACCGACUUCCGACCUUUGGCGACAUCUUUUCGAACCUCUCCUGUGGUCGAGCCUCCGCAAUAUUUCCAUGUUCUGCCAACGGAUAAACCCCCACCAGCAUCGACCGGAUUCUUCACG
This 251-nucleotide long non-coding RNA is filed under the name Elaeis guineensis (African oil palm). RNAcentral describes it as "long non-coding RNA (EGUI_LNC047882)". Lineage: Eukaryota; Viridiplantae; Streptophyta; Magnoliopsida; Arecales; Arecaceae. The record is from RNAcentral.